Molecule: ribosomal RNA, 497 nt
Filed under: uncultured bacterium
Lineage: Bacteria
Description: partial 16S ribosomal RNA
Rfam family: Bacterial small subunit ribosomal RNA
Source: RNAcentral
GAUGAACGCUGGCGGCGUGCCUAAUACAUGCAAGUCGAGCGAACAGACGAGGAGCUUGCUCCUUUGACGUUAGCGGCGGACGGGUGAGUAACACGUAGGUAACCUACCUAUAAGACUGGGAUAACUUCGGGAAACCGGAGCUAAUACCGGAUAAUAUUUCGAACCGCAUGGUUCGAUAGUGAAAGAUGGCUUUGCUAUCACUUAUAGAUGGACCUGCGCCGUAUUAGCUAGUUGGUAAGGUAACGGCUUACCAAGGCAACGAUACGUAGCCGACCUGAGAGGGUGAUCGGCCACACUGGAACUGAGACACGGUCCAGACUCCGACGGGAGGCAGCAGUAGGGAAUCUUCCGCGAUGGGCGAAAGCCUGACGGAGCAACGCCGCGUGAGUGAUGAAGGUCUUCGGAUCGUAAAACUCUGUUAUUAGGGAAGAACAAACGUGUAAGUAACUGUGCACGUCUUGACGGUACCUAAUCAGAAAGCCACGGCUAACUACGUG